This 515-nucleotide ribosomal RNA is filed under the name uncultured chicken cecal bacterium. RNAcentral describes it as "bacterial SSU rRNA". It matches the Rfam family "Bacterial small subunit ribosomal RNA", at positions 8 to 521 of the family's 1533-position model. The record is from RNAcentral.
AGAGUUUGAUCCUGGCUCAGGAUGAACGCUGGCGGCGUGCUUAACACAUGCAAGUCGAGCGAAGCACUUACUUUUGAUUUCUUCGGAAUGAGGAAGUCUGUGACUUAGCGGCGGACGGGUGAGUAACGCGUGGGCAACCUGCCUCACACAGGGGGAUAACAGUUAGAAAUGACUGCUAAUACCGCAUAAGACCACGGCACCGCAUGGUGCAGGGGUAAAAACUCCGGUGGUGUGAGAUGGGCCCGCGUCUGAUUAGGUAGUUGGUGCGGUAACGGCGCACCAAGCCGACGAUCAGUAGCCGACCUGAGAGGGCGACCGGCCACAUUGGGACUGAGACACGGCCCAAACUCCUACGGGAGGCAGCAGUGGGGAAUAUUGCACAAUGGGGGAAACCCUGAUGCAGCGACGCCGCGUGAAGGAUGAAGUAUUUCGGUAUGUAAACUUCUAUCAGCAGGGAAGAAAAUGACGGUACCUGACUAAGAAGCCCCGGCUAACUACGUGCCAGCAGCCGCGGU